CUUAAGGUAAUAAACUGGGAGUUCAAUCGCUGCACAGCAUAAUCGAGGCCAGAUCACAAGCUGGGAUCAGCCAUCAGCCGAGGGGCCAGGUGGCUUCUCCGUGUUCUGUGGUCAACGACCUCCUGUGCGGCGUGUGCUUGGUCAUAAAGGAACAGGUGUGACAGGUGGGUAAGUCACUGUGACAGCUACCCACACACAGACAAGCACAUUCUCAAAGCACAUAUCCCUCUGACCUCAAAUCCACACACCAAGGGAAACAGACCUAAAAAGGACUUUGUGUUUAGUCUCCUGAUCUGCAGAAGGAUACGCCCCUCACCGGAGGGGGCCAUGGAAAGUUGGCUCACUGCUUGUGACUCCCUGAGGUGGCGUGGGGCGUGAGCAAGAGCCUGGGCUCUGUGGUCUGACACAGCUCUGAGCGCCUCUCCCGCCACCUGUCAGAUGUGCGACCUCGGAAAUCUUACAGCAAAUCAGGCUGCUAAGCCUCAGAAAACACAAGGCUCUUCCAAAUUUCAGAGUACAACAAUGUGAUGGGGUCAGAAGAGAAAAUGCUGUAGGUAUCUGAAAUUUUGCCUUGUAAUACAUAGUUGAAGGAUAUCACCUACGACAGAUGUCAGCACCACCAGCCUUGGGCCCGCUUGGGUGACCCGAGUGUGGCUCCUUGGUCCCAUCUCCCGGCGUCUCCUGUCUGCCCCCGCCACCCCGCUGCCCUCCGAGCCUCGGUCCAGUUCAUCCUCCAG
This 737-nucleotide long non-coding RNA is filed under the name Heterocephalus glaber (naked mole-rat). Its description in RNAcentral is "lncRNA (ENSHGLG00100043618.1)". The record is from RNAcentral. Lineage: Eukaryota; Metazoa; Chordata; Mammalia; Rodentia; Bathyergidae.